GACGAACGCUGGCGGCGUGCUUAACACAUGCAAGUCGAACGAUGAACCCGGAGCUUGCUCUGGGGGAUUAGUGGCGAACGGGUGAGUAACACGUGAGUAACCUGCCCUGGACUCUGGGAUAAGCGUUGGAAACGACGUCUAAUACCGGAUAGGACCUUGGAUCGCAUGAUCUGGGGUGGAAAGUUUUUUCGGUCUGGGAUGGACUCGCGGCCUAUCAGCUUGUUGGUGAGGUAAUGGCUCACCAAGGCGUCGACGGGUAGCCGGCCUGAGAGGGUGACCGGCCACACUGGGACUGAGACACGGCCCAGACUCCUGCGGGAGGCAGCAGUGGGGAAUAUUGCACAAUGGGCGAAAGCCUGAUGCAGCAACGCCGCGUGCGGGAUGACGGCCUUCGGGUUGUAAACCGCUUUUAGUAGGGAAGAAGGGCUUCGGCUUGACGGUACCUGCAGAAAAAGAACCGGCUAACUACGUG
Molecule: ribosomal RNA, 472 nt
Filed under: uncultured bacterium
Lineage: Bacteria
Description: partial 16S ribosomal RNA
Rfam family: Bacterial small subunit ribosomal RNA
Source: RNAcentral